RNAcentral lists this long non-coding RNA (1199 nucleotides) under Pongo abelii (Sumatran orangutan). Its description in RNAcentral is "lincRNA". The record is from RNAcentral. Lineage: Eukaryota; Metazoa; Chordata; Mammalia; Primates; Hominidae.
UCAGCCUCCCGAGCAGCUGGGACUACAGGCACCCGCCGCCACACCCAGCUAAUUUUUUGUAUUUUUAGUAGAGAUGGGGUUUCACUGCGUUAGCCAGGAUGGUCUUGAUCUCCUGACCCUGGGAUCCACCCGCCUCGGCCUCCCAAAGUGCUGGGAUUACAGGCGUGAGCCACCGCGCCUGGCCCAAGAACCCAAGUUUUAGAUCUGGAGUGAUGUGAGCAUGACAUUCAUUUCCUGAGGCCCAGGGGUGAAGGAGCUGAGGACAGCACGGGUGAAGGAACUCAGCUACAGACAGCAGCUGAUGCACAGGCCUCCCAUCACCGGAAGUCACCCGGAAUUAGGAUGUGCUCAGAAGGUUACAAAGCUGCCUCGAGGUGGGAACACAUUAAUCCAAGAGCAGAUCCCUGAUUGUAUAAAAAUGUACUAGAUUCAGUGGGGGCAUUUUAAAUCAGCAGGGAAGGACAGACAGAUAAACAGAAGGACAAACAGUAUUGGGAUUGGGAUAAAUGCUCAGCUUUUGCCUAAAUCUUAGGGACUUAACACAAGCAUCACUUAUUUGCUCACGAUUCUGUGAGUGGACCAUUUGGUUUGGCUCACAGGGCAGUGACUGUGCUCGUCUUACCUGAGCGGACCUGCAUGUCUGCGGUUAACUGGGUUGGCAGAGACAGAGUGACUGUCUUCCUCCAGGAAGCAGCAGGUUGGCUCUGGCUCCUUCGUGGGCAGCUGGUCUCCAGGGCAGCAAGAGAGACCAAGCCCCCGUGCACAUGCUACAGCCUCUGUGCGCAUCAGAGUUGUUAAUAUCCCAUUGGCCAGCGCAAGUCACACGGCCAAGCCCAGAUCAAGGAGUGGAAAGAUGGAGCCUGUCUCCUCCUGGGAGAGGAGGCAAAGGAGGUGGGAGCAUUAUGUGGCCACUUGUGUUUGCAAUCUACCAUACUUGGCACUUUGAGAAAAGAAUUGACUGAGAAACUUGCUUCAAAUAGGGCAUUCACUGAAAUGAAGCCCCAGUUGAAGUAAAAUGCAUAUAUAAAAAAUGAAACUGUGACCGAUUUUAAGGACAGUAUUGGUAAAUACUUCUGUGCUCUUGGAGGAGAAGACCCUUAUUGUCAUGACAUGUCAGAAAUCACAAUGAAAGAAUUAUUGUAACUUGCAUUCAUAAAAAUUAAAAUUCCUCAUUAAAAACAUCAUGAAUGAAAUUAAAA